AGUGUGGUGGCAUAGUGAUUUGUGUGUUGGAUUAUGACUCUGGAGACCAGAGUUCGAUUCUCCACUUGGCCA
This is a non-coding RNA of Phrynosoma platyrhinos (Desert horned lizard), 72 nucleotides long. The record is from the annotation of a GenBank genome assembly. Lineage: Eukaryota; Metazoa; Chordata; Lepidosauria; Squamata; Phrynosomatidae.